This is a long non-coding RNA of Nyctereutes procyonoides (raccoon dog), 744 nucleotides long. RefSeq lists it as uncharacterized. NCBI's taxonomy places the organism in Eukaryota, Metazoa, Chordata, Mammalia, Carnivora, Canidae. The transcript is spliced from 4 exons. The record is from RefSeq and is a predicted model, not a curated record.
GCCAGAGCAGCGGCCGCGGCGGAGGCGGGAGCUGGGGGGUUGAGGCCCGCGCGGCCCCGCUCGCCGCUGCUCGGCGGAGGCUGAGAGCCGGCGGGCAUCUGCAUCCCCGCGCCCGCUAAGCCCCGGCACCGCGGACCCCGGGCCACGGCUCUCCGUGGCGGCAACGCGCCGGGAGGACCGCACGGGAGAGCACGAUGGGCGCCCGGGGCUCGAUCUUCCUACCUGGGGCGGGUGGGUGCUCGCCCACCCUCCCGCCCUCUUUCCUCUCCACUCGUGAGCCAGAGCCGCAUCCAGCACCACGGACAGCUCCCUGACGCCAGGAAAUUCCAGAAUCCUGCCUGCCCCUUUCUGGGGAUGUCCUUCCCAAGGUCUUAUGGAGAUCUGUACUGCAGAAGUACCGUUGGCUUGACGUGGCCAAUCUGAGAGACCAAAAAGAAGGACCUAUUUCACCCAGGUGGUGUGGGUUCCCUCUGAGAAGCCCUCCUAGGUUGACCAAAGAUGAGGCGAAUACUCCAGCAAGCUGACUGGCUGCUCCAGGAAGCCUCUGAGCAUGAUGGACAUGGCAUGGCCCUAGCUCCAGCCUGGCUGCCCAUUAAGUUGGAGCCGCCUGGAGAGGGCUUCCUUGUACCCAUGCUCCCGUGUCAACAGCUGUCCACCGUGGCCCAUCCCAGUCCCUCAGUAUUGUCUGAGUCGCUAUCCUCUGAGAUGGAGGUCCCAUCUCAUGUCUAAUAAAGACUCCUGAAU